AAUACGUUCCCGGGCCUUGUACACACCGCCCGUCAAGCCAUGGAAGCUGGGAGUACCUGAAGUGCGUAACCGCAAGGAGCGUCCUAGGGUAAAUCGGUAACUGGGGCU
This 108-nucleotide ribosomal RNA is filed under the name uncultured bacterium. RNAcentral describes it as "partial 16S ribosomal RNA". It matches the Rfam family "Bacterial small subunit ribosomal RNA", at positions 1365 to 1482 of the family's 1533-position model. The record is from RNAcentral.